Molecule: long non-coding RNA, 548 nt
Organism: Anneissia japonica
Lineage: Eukaryota; Metazoa; Echinodermata; Crinoidea; Comatulida; Comatulidae
Exons: 4
Source: RefSeq, a predicted model, not a curated record
AGGAGCAAAAUUGUAGGCAAUUUGUUUCUUCUGCCUUAACACUCGGCCACUCGACUAGCCUCAUGUGAUAACUGUGUGGAUGCUCUAUCAAUGUUGAACCCUGGGAUUGGAAGAAUUACUCGGAAGGAGACAGUUCAGACAGAUUUUAUGCCACCAAAUCCUCCUAGUAGCCCUCAGCAAGGCAGAAGCCCUAAGGGUCAGACACCGGCUUAGCAGUGGAGCCAUGGACACACCUGCAAAAUAUACGGCCAUCAGUUUCGGAAGUUUUCUUCGAAAAGCCGAGAACUUCUGUUGCAUGCGAAAGCACUGUGAAAUUGAGUAGAAGCAAUGACUCGCUGGUUUCAGAUGGAACAAGUAAAAGCCAAAAAGAUGAGCAGAGUGCCCAGCCCACAUGUGACAGCAUGAAUGAUGAGUCUGCGCCCUCUAUGAUAGUGUCAGGAAUGCAGUUGAAACAUUGAAGAUAGUAACAGGAAAGAGAAUUACUAUGAAGAAGACUGUUGAGACAGAUUUUAUGCCAAAAAAAUCCUCCUAGUAGCCCUCAGCCAGGC